This 275-nucleotide ribosomal RNA is filed under the name Lotophila atra. RNAcentral's name for it is "partial 12S ribosomal RNA". The record is from RNAcentral. Lineage: Eukaryota; Metazoa; Arthropoda; Insecta; Diptera; Sphaeroceridae.
AGAGGAACCUGUUCUAUAAUCGAUAAUCCACGAUGGACCUUACUUAAGUUUGUUAAUCAGUUUAUAUACCGUCGUUAUUAGAAUAUUUUAUAAGAAUAAUAAUUUUCAUAAAAUUUUAUAAAAACAUAUAUCAGAUCAAGGUGUAGCUUAUAUUUAAGUAGAAAUGGGUUACAAUAAAAAUAUUUAUACGGAAAUAAUUAUGAAAAAAUUAUUUAAGGUGGAUUUGAUAGUAAAAUUAUAAAGAUUAAUAAUUUGAUUUUAGCUCUAAAAUAUGU